Molecule: long non-coding RNA, 570 nt
Organism: Notothenia coriiceps (black rockcod)
Lineage: Eukaryota; Metazoa; Chordata; Actinopteri; Perciformes; Nototheniidae
Exons: 3
Source: RefSeq, a predicted model, not a curated record
GCUUGUUGGUGUUGACGUAGGACUUGAGGUGGAACUUGUUGGUGUUGACGUGGGACUUGAGGUGGAACUUGUUGGUGUUGAGGUGGGACUUGAGGUGGAACUUGUUGGUGUUGACGUGGGACAAACACUCAGCCUAACACUUCUUGUUUGUAUAUGAAAUGGUCCUGACCUUGGACCUGACCCUAACCCCAGGACCUGAUAGUGUUUCCCUGAGGUUCUAAGUCUUUCUCUGUGUUCAGGUAUCGACCCGCCCAGAGAGUCGUUUAACCGCUGGCUGCUGGAGAGGAAAGUGAUCGACAAAGGUCAGGACACUUUCCUGCCGAGUGACUGCGACCCGGUCAUCUCGCCCUCCAUGUUCAGAGAGGUCAUGAACGACAUUCCCAUCAGAUUGGCCCGUAUUAAAUACAAAGAGGAGGCCCGGAAGCUUCUGUUUAAAUACGCUGAAGCCGCCAAGAAGAUGAUCGACUCCAGGAAUGCCAGUCCGGAGAGCAGGAAGGUGGUGAAGUGGAACGCCGAAGACACCAUGAGCUGGCUGCGCCGAGAUCACUCCGCCAGCAAGGAGGACUACAU